CCUACGGGUGGCAGCAGUGAGGAAUCUUGGUCAAUGGGAGAGAUCCUGAACCAGCCAAGCCGCGUGAGGGAAGACGGCCCUAUGGGUUGUAAACCUCUUUUGUCGGAGAACAAAACCCGGGACGUGUCCCGGACUGCGUGUAUCCGAAGAAAAAGCAUCGGCUAACUCCGUGCCAGCAGCCGCGGUAAUACGGGGGAUGCGCGGGUUAUCCGGUUUGAUUGGGUUAAAAGGGUGCGCAGGCGGUCUGUUAAGUCAGCGGUAAAAGCCCGGGGUUCAACCCCGGCCCGCCGUUGAAACUGGCAGUCUCGAGUUGGAGAGAAGUAUGCGGAACGCGCGGUGUAGCGGUGAAAUGCAUAGAUAUCGCGCAGAACUCCGAUUGCGAAGGCAGCAUGCCGGCUCCCCACUGACGCUGAGGCACGAAAGCGUGGGUAUCGAACAGGAUUAGAUACCCUUGUAGUC
This 459-nucleotide ribosomal RNA is filed under the name uncultured bacterium. Its description in RNAcentral is "partial 16S ribosomal RNA". It matches the Rfam family "Bacterial small subunit ribosomal RNA", at positions 338 to 795 of the family's 1533-position model. The record is from RNAcentral.